AUACGGGGGGUGCGAAGCGUUGUUCGGAAUUAUUGGGCGUAAAGAGCGUGUAGGCGGCUGAAUAAGUCAGAUGUGAAAUCCCUGGGCUUAACCCAGGACGUGCAUUUGAAACUAUUCGGCUUGAGUAAGGGAGAGGAAAGUGGAAUUCCUGGUGUAGAGGUGAAAUUCGUAGAUAUCAGGAGGAACACCGGUGGCGAAGGCGACUUUCUGGCCCUAUACUGACGCUGAGACGCGAGAGCGUGGGUAGC
RNAcentral lists this ribosomal RNA (248 nucleotides) under uncultured bacterium. RNAcentral's name for it is "partial 16S ribosomal RNA". It matches the Rfam family "Bacterial small subunit ribosomal RNA", at positions 523 to 769 of the family's 1533-position model. The record is from RNAcentral.